This 560-nucleotide long non-coding RNA is filed under the name Gossypium barbadense (sea-island cotton). RNAcentral describes it as "long non-coding RNA (GBAR_LNC002967)". Lineage: Eukaryota; Viridiplantae; Streptophyta; Magnoliopsida; Malvales; Malvaceae. The record is from RNAcentral.
GCACGUUCUGUGUAUUACCUUGGUAAGGAUUUUGGAAAUUCUGAGCAUUUCCACCCAUGUUACCAGACCAUCCUUGAUUCGGUGGACCUGGUGGCAUCCCACCCAUGUUGUUAGGAGGCGGCAUUCCUCCCAUAUUGUUAGAAGGCGGCAUUCCUCCUCCCAUGUUGUUAGGAGGCGGCAUUCCUCCCAUAUUGUUAGAAGGUGGCAUUCCUCCUCCCAUGUUGUUCCGCGGUGGCAUUCCUCCCAUAUUGUUAGGAGGCGGCAUUCCUCCUCCCAUGUUGUUCCGCGGUGGCAUUCCUCCCAUAUUGUUAGGAGGCGGCAUUCCUCCCCCCAUAUUGUUGGCUGGCAUACCUCCCCUAUUGUUGUAAGGCAUUCCUCCCAUGUUGUUAGGAGGUGGAUUUCCAGCUGUAUUAGGAGCAGCAUUCUGCAUACCCUGGUUUGGAGGAGGCUGCAUGUUUUCCCUUCUUCUCUCAUAGUUUCUUGAUCUAUCAUAAUUACGAGGCCUGUCAUUACGUCUAUUUCUUUCGUUUGCUCGUGCAUUGUUCCUCACCCAUUCCUCA